Molecule: ribosomal RNA, 468 nt
Filed under: uncultured bacterium
Lineage: Bacteria
Description: partial 16S ribosomal RNA
Rfam family: Bacterial small subunit ribosomal RNA
Source: RNAcentral
GACGAACGCUGGCGGCGUGCUUAACACAUGCAAGUCGAACGGAAAGGCCCUGCUUUUGUGGGGUGCUCGAGUGGCGAACGGGUGAGUAACACGUGAGUAACCUGCGCUUGACUUUGGGAUAACUUCAGGAAACUGGGGCUAAUACCGGAUAGGAGCUCCUGCUGCAUGGUGGGGGUUGGAAAGUUUCGGCGGUUGGGGAUGGACUCGCGGCUUAUCAGCUUGUUGGUGGGGUAGUGGCUUACCAAGGCUUUGACGGGUAGCCGGCCUGAGAGGGUGACCGGCCACAUUGGGACUGAGAUACGGCCCAGACUCCUACGGGAGGCAGCAGUGGGGAAUAUUGCACAAUGGGCGGAAGCCUGAUGCAGCAACGCCGCGUGCGGGAUGACGGCCUUCGGGUUGUAAACCGCUUUCGCCUGUGACGAAGCGUGAGUGACGGUAAUGGGUAAAGAAGCACCGGCUAACUACGUG